CCGCAAUGGGCGCAAGCCUGACGGAGCAAGACCGCGUGGGGGAGGAAAGCCUUUGGGUUGUAAACCCCUUUUCUCAGGGAAGAAGAAAGUGACGGUACCUGAGGAAUCAGCCUCGGCUAACUCCGUGCCAGCAGCCGCGGUAAUACGGAGGAGGCAAGCGUUAUCCGGAAUGAUUGGGCGUAAAGCGUUCGUAGGUGGCAAUUCAAGUCUGCUGUCAAAGACAGUAGCUCAACUACUGCAAGGCAGUGGAAACUGAAUAGCUAGAGUGCGGUAGGGGCAGAGGGAAUUCCCGGUGUAGCGGGGAAAUGCGUAGAGAUCGGGAAGAACACCGGUGGCGAAAGCGCUCUGCUGGGCCGCAACUGACACUGAGGGACGAAAGCUAGGGGAGCGAAUGGGAUUAGAUACCCCAGUAGUC
This 415-nucleotide ribosomal RNA is filed under the name uncultured cyanobacterium. RNAcentral describes it as "bacterial SSU rRNA". It matches the Rfam family "Bacterial small subunit ribosomal RNA", at positions 366 to 795 of the family's 1533-position model. Lineage: Bacteria; Bacillati; Cyanobacteriota. The record is from RNAcentral.